UACGUAGGGUGCGAGCGUUGUCCGGAAUUAUUGGGCGUAAAGAGCUCGUAGGCGGUCUGUCGCGUCGAUCGUGAAAACUUGGGGCUUAACCCUGAGCUUGCGGUCGAUACGGGCAUGACUGGAGUUCGGCAGGGGAGACUGGAAUUCCUGGUGUAGCGGUGAAAUGCGCAGAUAUCAGGAGGAACACCGGUGGCGAAGGCGGGUCUCUGGGCCGAUACUGACGCUGAGGAGCGAAGGCGUGGGGAGCGAACAGG
This 254-nucleotide ribosomal RNA is filed under the name uncultured bacterium. Its description in RNAcentral is "partial 16S ribosomal RNA". It matches the Rfam family "Bacterial small subunit ribosomal RNA", at positions 524 to 776 of the family's 1533-position model. The record is from RNAcentral.